GACAUUUUUAAUGUGUUAACUGUCACAUUCAGUAUAUUUAAUGUAUCUUUGCUAAAUAAAAGUGUUAAUUACUUUAAAGAAAAAUCUUACUGACCCAAACUUUUGAAUGGUGGCGUACUAGUCAGCAAAUGUUAAAAAAGGCACUAUUGUCUUAAAUGUGAUUUUGUUUGCAUAAUAUCCUCACUUAUAUCCUAAUUCAUAGUUUUGUACCAUAAUUACUAAUAUAGUUAAUUUGUUAGAUGUUAAUUUGUUAUUGCAGUUGGUUAACCUAGUAACAACCAUAAAUUUUGUAAUUUUUGAUCAUUUUCUGCCUUCUAAGUGCAACCCAGCCAUUAUGAUUUCAACUGCAGUCCAGUAAUCUGAAAAGAAGAUUUGAAUCAGACACUCACGGGGAAGUAAAGCAACAGAGAGCCACACAGGAUCAUCUCCAGCAGCAAAAGCCCCGACGAUCGGAUCCGCUGAGAGAUAGAAAGAUGGAGAGAAGAAAAGGGUGAGAAGUGGAGAGGGGAAGCUGAGCAUGCUGACAAGCACAAGGACCAUGAAGAGGCCCUGCACAGCCAGGACACCCGUCCUCAGAAGCCAGUCUUCCUGCACCCAACACGGGGCUCCAUCCUCGCACUCAUCACAGCCGGGCCAACAGGGCAGACACACAGGGACUUCUGGGUAACAAGCUCGGUAGCCCUUUUUACAUCGGCAGCAGUACUGACCCAUCCGGAAGCCCUGUUGUGGGAUGGAUUCACACUGAGGGGAAGAGAAAGAAAGAGACAUGAGGUCUGCUCAUGUCAAAUCAACACUGAUGUUCCUGCCAGCGACUGAGUAUGAUUGUGUUCUCUCUGCUUUCUGCCAUUAAUUGCAUGUGCAGUCAGUCCCUCAUCAGCGGUUUAUCUGUGAGAGUUGGCUGACCCACACAUCAGACUCACUCGGAGUUAAUCUAAGCUAAAUCCUAAAUGGAGGGGUAAUACCUCCAUCGACAGAGCUUUAUCUUUUUAUUCAGGGAAAUCCAGCACUGUUCACAUACAUUUAUGUUAUUUUCUAUUUUACCUUUAUUUAAUCAGGCAACUCACUUAAGAACAUGAUUGUUAUUUAUAAGAGGAUAUUAUCCUUGUGGAGAGGAACAAUUAGGAAUAAAUAAAAAAUAAUUUCUCUGU
Molecule: long non-coding RNA, 1148 nt
Organism: Cyprinus carpio (common carp)
Lineage: Eukaryota; Metazoa; Chordata; Actinopteri; Cypriniformes; Cyprinidae
Exons: 3
Source: RefSeq, a predicted model, not a curated record